This 448-nucleotide ribosomal RNA is filed under the name uncultured bacterium. Its description in RNAcentral is "bacterial SSU rRNA". It matches the Rfam family "Bacterial small subunit ribosomal RNA", at positions 330 to 794 of the family's 1533-position model. The record is from RNAcentral.
ACCAGACUCCUACGGGAGGCAGCAGUGGGGGAUAUUGCACAAUGGGGGGAACCCUGAUGCAGCGACGCCGCGUGGGUGAAGGAGUGCUUCGGCAUGUAAAGCCCUAUCGGCAGGGAAGAAGCAAGACGGUACCUGACUAAGAAGCCCCGGCUAACUACGUGCCAGCAGCCGCGGUAAUACGUAGGGGGCGAGCGUUAUCCGGAUUCACUGGGUGUAAAGGGAGCGUAGACGGCAGUGCAAGUCCGGAGUGAAAGCCCGGGGCUCAACCCUGGGACUGCUCUGGAAACUGUAAAGCUGGAGUGCGGGAGGGGCAGGCGGAAUUCCUGGUGUAGCGGUGAAAUGCGUAGAUAUCAGGAGGAACACCGGCGGCGAAGGCGGCCUGCUGGACCGUAACUGACGUUGAGGCUCGAAAGCGUGGGGAGCAAACAGGAUUAGAUACCCCAGUAAA